Molecule: long non-coding RNA, 6091 nt
Organism: Apus apus (common swift)
Lineage: Eukaryota; Metazoa; Chordata; Aves; Apodiformes; Apodidae
Exons: 8
Source: RefSeq, a predicted model, not a curated record
CCCGCCGCCCCGCUCGCCCCUUCCGCGCGCCCGCGGCCCCCGGGGCGGGCCGGGGCCUCCGGGGCAGCUGCGCCCGGGAAUGAUAAAGCCAGCAAGAAGGUUGUGCAGAAGGCAGCAAGUGAAGUGAAGAGAUGACUUUGUUACUGGCUUUGUGGAUCUUUGAUCUGGACUCCACCAUGCUGUUAUCUUGCAAGCAGGAAGGCAUCACAUGAAAUCUGGAACUACUGAAGUGCUAUGACAUCAGAUGCCCUUCUGCUGUUUUGGGAGCUUUGUGUCUGCACGUACAGCCAACAGUAGGCUCCAUCCCCUUCAGGAGGUCUGGGUGCUUCAGAAGGUGUGAGAUUACCAGACUGCAGAUGGUCAAGUUUAUCCUUCUUAUGUGAAGAUAAGUCUCCUAUGUAACAGAUACCACCCUUAGCCAGCACAGCACUGCAAGCGUGAAUAGUAGCACUUCCAGUUCCAUGUUUAUCUUUGGACACAGAAGGAAAAAUCUCACUAGAAGGUGGGUGUCGUAUGCCACGAGGCAGAAGACAUAUGCUGUAAUUCAGAAGCCUAGAGGAUUAAAUAAUUCUGUCAGUCAUAAAUUGUUAAAUUACUGUUCAUUUAUUAAAGACUUAAAUAAUACUAGACACUUCAUAAUGGUAUGCAUAUAUAUAUAUUAAGACUCAACUUAGAAAACAAAACAGCCAACGACUCCCGUAACAUAAAACCAGUGUCAAAAUGUUUAAAGUAACUUCGUAUUCCAAGGUCGAAGUCCAGGCUUUCUCACCAACAAGACUAUUUCUUACAGAUUUAACACAUGAGGCAGAUCAUGGUUCAUAAUAGGAGUAAUUCCUAGGAAGUCAAAGAAGUCUUAUAAUUUAAGACCAUAUUGUUAACUCCUAUUCUAGAGAAACUUUUUCAGUGAUUUAAAAGGGUAGCAGAUUAGGAAUCUUGGCCAACUGGAAAAAAUGAGAUGGCUGGGAACUUGCAAGCUCUGCCUCCUGGGUUACAGCACUCCUCUCCCUCCUUCCCCAAAUCUUUCUGAGAAAGCAGGUAUAGAAUUUUUUUCAUCCCCUGUACUAUGUUACAUGGCAGAAGGAGGUUGCAAAUUGUCUGUCUGGUUCCACAAUCAAAGGCUCCUAAUGAUUUUAACAUGUCAGAGCGUGAAUUAACCUACUAUUAAUAAUUAGAAUAAAAUUAUUAUUUAAAAUUAAUAAGUAUUCAUACAUAGGCUAUCAUACCAAUAGAAAUAGGAUGUAGGAAAUGCUCACUCUGACAGGCUGCUGACUAUAAAAGACUAUGUGGACAUGCAAGAUAGUACAAAUGACAGUACUGACCAACAUUUACAGUGUACAAUUGUUUUAAUAUUAAACAGAUGUUUUUUUUCUCAGAACACUCUUGAGUUCCUAUGAUUUCCCUCAGAAAAUCUUACUCUUAAACUGGGGGAAAAAAUAGUUCUACCCACUUUUUUUUUUUUCAAAUUUGAACUGAUUUCUACAGCUAAAUUUUGAAAUUAUUAAGGAGGGUUUUCUUUUUCCACAACAAAAAAAUACUAGUUAAUACUAGAGAACUCUCACGAGAGCAUCUUUUCCAAAACCAAAAAUGAAGCCCUGUUUUGAGAUGGGGGAAGAAGAAGCAAUUUUGUUUAAUGUAAAUUUAAAGCUGAGUAUAUUGUACUUUUCUGCAGUGUAUGUGCAUAUGUGUUAAUAAUUUAUAGUUGUGGUAAGGAGUAAAAUACAUGAAAUGCAUAAAUACAGAAAAACAUUUUGUUAAAGGCAACACCAUUUAUUUGGAUUUAUUUAUUUAUUUGGAUUUAUGACCUAAGUAUAAAGAUGUCCAUGACUUUUGAUACCUCAUCAGAAUAGUUUUUAUGAAAGAGUGAUAAAAAUGUAAGUAUCUGUUUACACACUGCUUAUUAAUUGAAAACUAGUAGCUGGGAAGUGGUGAUGAACAGGCUUCAAGUGACACAAGAUUUGAACAGCAGAGCCCUUUACUUUUAUCAUGGCCAGCUUCCAGAGCAGUCUUCAGUUCUGAUUUGAGAAGCAUGUUUUGUUUGAGCUCUGCUUGUAUUCAGAUCUUACUGAGAUAAUUACAAGAGUGUUAAGAGGCUUUAUUAGUGAAGUUCUGAUCUAAAAUUAUCUGGUGAGAUAAUUUCCCAAGGAAAAAAAUUCUGUAUUUUUAUGAAGUCGGAGACCUGUAUAUUAUUUUAAAAUAAUAGCCUCUUAAGCCUUUCAUGUAAGACUGAUCCCAUUAUGUUUAAAAAUACUCAUUAUUUUAACUUCAAUUUACAUGAAAAAUAAGGAAUCUAUUUACCUUUCAAUUACUAACACGUCGCUUGUCACAAUCAACAGAUCCAGAUAAUCUGCAUUUUCUUUUUCACAUGUCUGUACUAGACUUAGCAAUAUUGCGAGUUUAAGAGUAUUGUAGGUGCCUGGUGGAACAACCUCAGAAGCAAAUAUAUUGGCAAGGAUAGCUGUAAACCUCCAGCAUGAGCCUGAUGUCAGUGAGAGCAGAUACUUAAAAUUGUCACCGACAAAAGAAGGACCUAAUUAAAACAAAGUACAGGUUAGCAAACACUUCAUAAGAGAGCUGUGUUUAUACAGUAGAACAAAUCACCAUUCCAGUCUUGAUACAAAGCUUACAAAGAACAAACAUCAGGUUCAUUUAAUGUAUCAUUUCAAAGUACCUUCCAACAGCUAGGAGAAGUUAGAAAGAGAAGUUGAAGAACUGCAGUAAUGAAUUAUGUAGUUCCCCAAUCCAUGGAAAGUGGGCAAAAGGAGAUAUUCUCAAAUAGCAGUAAGUGUAUUUACUGUAAGAGGAAGGUCCCAGAGUGGUUUCAUAAUGUGGGUGUCUAGAGAAUAGAAAACUACCAAUUCUCAAGAUUUUGUUCCAGAAGGCUUUCCAACUCUCUUAGUCAAUUUUUAAUGGAACUUUCUUACCGUUUGGUUUACAGAGCUGUACACUGUUGACUUCUAUACAUGCUGUAGCUUGUAAGCCAUUUUGUACACAAGCUGGAAUUCCUAUAAUGUUGUAGUGGUUUCCUAUUUUCAUUGUAUUGACUAGUUCAUCUGGAAAUUAUAAAUAAAUAAAUAAAUAAAUAGGUGGGGGGAAGCAUAUAGAUGUAGUAGGGCAUUAAAACAGUUUUAAAGACGGGACCAGAAAACUUCACAUUCUGAACAGUUCAAUUUAAUUGCAGAAAACACCAGUUGGAUGCCAGGUCCACCACACCAUAGCAGACUGGAAAUAAAUUAAGCAUACACUUCUAAUUAAUUAGUGCAAAAGUUAAGGAAGGCACAUGGGGUGUGGAAAAAGUAGAUUCCUGAUAAAGAAAAUGGGUGAUGCAUCUAUUUCUGCAUAGAAAAUAAAAUUUACAGUCAUUUGCAAGUGUGUUCCUACUCUGAAACACGUGGUGACACCAGUACCAGUUACUGUCUGAUAAAACGUCAGGAAAAAAACACAAGAAAAAGGAGAACCACUGAAGCCAGUGGAAGUUUAAUGCAGGCAUAACUCACAGUAUCUCACCCAUACCUUGUAUUAUUAUUAUUAUCAUCAUCAUCAUCAUUCUAUCUAGUUUUCAAUAAAUUAACAAUAUAAUUUCAUAGACUUUAGAAUGGUGGGUUUGGUGGCUUGAUUUUUUUUAAGAUAAAAUGUAACUAUGUUGGUGAGUUGUGAUUUUGGUUGAAUAUUAACAUUAGAAAUAAUGUUUACAGAGGAAGGUAGUGGUAGUAGAUGCCAAAAAUCCUGAUGGAAAAGCAAAAACCAGCUAGAUUGAGGAAGGAUGCUAAACAUCCAUGAUGUUAGUACGAAACAGUAUGACCAAAAGAGGAAGAAAGGAGGGGAAAAAACAAGCUACAUUUAAAAGAUGGUAACUGCAGAGCUGGCCAGCAGAUUUUGUUUAAAUGAAGGUCUAAAAGGGAACAUGAGUUUUGCCAUGUGCUGUCUUCAAUCACCCGUGGAUACUGUUUAGUCACCUAGAUAAUUUUAUUUAUGUAUGUAUUUAUUAAAGAACUGCAAUAUAAAUUAUGACUUCCACCAUUUUAUCCAGAGAAAUAGACCUAUAAGGAAUGCAAGGGAUUACUACAAUUUAAUUUUAAACAUUCUUGACAAAACUCCAAAAUUCAGCUUACCUCUCAGGAAAACUGUAAAUGUCUGAAUCCUGAAAUGUGAUUUAUCAUUGGAAUAUCCUUUCAAAGCAUUAAGAACUUUUGCAUCAAUCAUUUCAACUAUUUGUUUAUCUUUCAAAAUAAAGGCAAAGAAAAUAUUAGUUCUGUGAAAAACAGUACCUCUUUUUUGUUUUGUUGGGGGAUUUAAUUUUUUUUUUUUCUUUUAAUGACUGGUGUAUUUUGGGGCUUUUUCCACUUAACCACUUUGUUUACUUAUUGUGUAGCAGAAGUAGGAAAGUAACAGAUCUAAAAAGAAAACUCCAUAGAUCCUACCACCAAGUACUCUAAAUUUCAUGUCUUCCUGCAGUGGUGAAGAACACAGGCUACACACAAAAUCACUCCUCACUGUGGCAGAUUCUGUGGCUCCAGGCAGAUGCACUCUUAUGUACUUAAACCCUAAAAAUAAAAAAAGAAAAAAAUGAAACUUACCAAAUAUUUAAAAUGAAGACAUGGCUUCCAUUUUAAAUUUCCCAUUGAGAACUGAAGUUAUUAAAAUACUGGGCAGUGAAAUUCCAGUUUUAUGAUGAGUUUGUUCAUAUAAGCAUACGUUCAUAUAUUAUGUUUCCACUGAUGUGAUCUGGAUAGUUUAUUGUAGGUCGACCACAAGAUGGCAGGAUUAACUGCUGCCCAUUCCCACGUGGAACAGCUUAGCCAUGGCUUUCUGAGCCCCAGGGAAAAAGCAAUUGCUGCUUCUGCCUUGCAUGGAAAUUACAUGAAAUACGGGUAUUUAUUAUUAGAGGUGCAUGUCCACACCAAGACAUCAUUAUGAUUCAUUCUACAGUCUCCUAACUUUAGGAUUUUGCUUCUCUUUUAUAAUUUUAUGGUCUCUUGCAGGAAGAAGCAAACAAAACAGCUUUAGAAGUACUUAAACCCUCAUCCUGAAAUGAUACAAGAACUUAAGCAAUAACAUUAAAAGAAAUAAUUCCACAGAAGUCAGCUGCUCAUUUAAGCAAACUUGUUCUGUGCUAGAAGCUCUUGCCAGUCACUUAUACUGUGAUUCUACCAGUUUAGCUUUUUUUCUUUCAGGCCACCACUUCUGUCAAGGUAGACAAGGGCAAUUUCCCUCAUUUUCUGUAUUUCACGAUGCAUCUUCCAAGAAAGGUGUUUGCACUCUUCAAAAUUUUGGAAUAAACUGUGAAGAAAUGAAGUUAGAACUGGCCAUGCUACGAUGAUAAUAAUUAAAGAUUUUCUUCCACAGUGUCCUCUGUCCUCCCUGUAGAUGACCAAUAUGAAAUACCACUUAGAUCUUCACUACCUGGUAAAGGACAAGACAGAGAAGUACUGGGCUGAUAAAGAAGCAAAGCUCAUAGCAUAUGAAAGAUCCCCUGCAGGAGUUUACAGAACUGGCUUUGAGAGGACAGAUAGCUCAACAUCAGGAAGAGGAGUGACUGGAGGCCAGUGAAACACCCGCAUGGCAGCAGCGUUACACCCCGAUGUCUUGAGAAUUACACGCUGCGGGAUGGCAGAUGUGCCUGAAAGGAUCAAAUCUUCAGCUGAAGUUGAAAGAGAAUUUACUGUCGUGUUGUUACAAGUGCUGUGCAUUUAAUUCCGUCCAGCGUGUUCUUGCCUCUCGCUCUCCUCCUCCCAGGCCACAAGACAGGAAAACAUGCUCCUGUGCUUCCGCAGCACCAGGAAAAAAGGCCUGCUCCCCGCAGGGUCCAGCUGCACCUCUGGAAGCUGAGGAACGACCCACCCCCUUUUGCUACCGACCGGCGAAAUACCCCUGGCGUCAGUCACAGAAAGACACACUUUACCUCUCUGUAUUACAUCUCUGACAAAGCAGGCAGGGAGUACCACAGCUGGCUCCCGUGUAGGGUCCUCAGCCAUCUCCUGUCCAGGCUUUACCACAACUCGUGCUUCAGAUUUCCCUUCUCAGCUCAGGGUGGGCGAAGGGGCUACUUACACUCUGAACCCAGCUGCCUUACUUUGAAAACCAGCAUCAUGGA